AUUGAACGCUGGCGGCAUGCCUUACACAUGCAAGUCGAACGGCAGCACGGGUGCUUGCACCUGGUGGCGAGUGGCGAACGGGUGAGUAAUACAUCGGAACGUACCUUAUCGUGGGGGAUAACGCAGCGAAAGUUGCGCUAAUACCGCAUACGCCCUGCGGGGGAAAGCGGGGGACCGUAAGGCCUCGCGCGAUUAGAGCGGCCGAUGUCUGACUAGCUUGUUGGUGAGGUAAAAGCUCACCAAGGCGAUGAUCAGUAGCUGGUCUGAGAGGACGAUCAGCCACACUGGGACUGAGACACGGCCCAGACUCCUACGGGAGGCAGCAGUGGGGAAUUUUGGACAAUGGGGGCAACCCUGAUCCAGCAAUGCCGCGCGAGUGAAGAAGGCCUUCGGGUUGUAAAGCUCUUUUGUCAGGGAAGAAACAGCAGCUCUAACACAGUCUGCGAAUGACGGUACCUGAAGAAUAAGCACCGGCUAACUACGUGCCAGCCGCCGCAGUAA
Molecule: ribosomal RNA, 501 nt
Filed under: uncultured bacterium
Lineage: Bacteria
Description: partial 16S ribosomal RNA
Rfam family: Bacterial small subunit ribosomal RNA
Source: RNAcentral